AGAGUUUGAUCAUGGCUCAGGACGAACGCUGGCGGCGUGCCUAACACAUGCAAGUCGAACGGGACCGGGGGCAACUCCGGUUCAGUGGCGGACGGGUGCGUAACACGUGAGGAACAUGACUUUCGGUGGGGGAUAGCCGGCCCAACGGCCGGGUAAUACCGCGUACGACCUUUCGGGGACAUCCCCGGUUGGUGAAAGCAGCAAUGCGCCGAAAGAGUGCCUCGCGGCCUAUCAGCUAGUUGGUGGGGUAAUGGCCCACCAAGGCGACGACGGGUAGCUGGUCUGAGAGGAUGGCCAGCCACAUUGGGACUGAGACACGGCCCAGACUCCUACGGGAGGCAGCAGUGGGGAAUAUUGCGCAAUGGGCGAAAGCCUGACGCAGCGACGCCGCGUGUGGGAUGACGGCCUUCGGGUUGUAAACCACUGUCGGGAGGGACGAAUGCCCCGCAAGGGGAGUGACGGUACCUCCAAAGGAAGCACCGGCUAACUCCGUGCCAGCAGCCGCGGUAAUACGGAGGGUGCAAGCGUUGUCCGGAAUCACUGGGCGUAAAGGGCGCGUAGGCGGCCUGGUAAGUAGGGGGUGAAAUCCUGCGGCUUAACCGCAGGGCUGCCUUCUAAACUGUCAGGCUUGAGCACGGUAGAGGCAGAUGGAAUUCCCGGUGUAGCGGUGGAAUGCGUAGAGAUCGGGAAGAACAUCAGUGGCGAAGGCGGUCUGCUGGGCCGUUGCUGACGCUGAGGCGCGACAGCGUGGGGAGCAAACAGGAUUAGAUACCCUAGUAGUCC
RNAcentral lists this ribosomal RNA (783 nucleotides) under uncultured bacterium. RNAcentral's name for it is "bacterial SSU rRNA". It matches the Rfam family "Bacterial small subunit ribosomal RNA", at positions 8 to 796 of the family's 1533-position model. The record is from RNAcentral.